Molecule: non-coding RNA, 2280 nt
Organism: Odocoileus virginianus texanus
Lineage: Eukaryota; Metazoa; Chordata; Mammalia; Artiodactyla; Cervidae
Source: RefSeq, a predicted model, not a curated record
CGCCUCCCAGGCCACAGGCCCUCCCCUGUGCCAAGCUGCUGGCUGUCUUAGAAACAGGAGGGCACAGCUGUGGACCAGGGCACGCAUGGGCCAACCCCCAAGGGAAAGCCCUGCUCUCGUGAAAUGUGUCCCUUCCCGGGUCAGCACAGCGCCUGGAACUGGAUGAGGAAGCACAGGCUGGUAGCCUGGGACAGUGGCACCCAGUCCCAGGUGCCCUGUUCCAUUCCCCAGGGGCCAUCAGGGACAGGCUUGACAUCUAAGGCCUCUGUCCUGCACCAGCUGACCAGGCUGGGCUCGGGCUGGGCUGCUAGGGAUGGCACUGGAUACCACCAUGGGGCAUCACCACAGAACUGGGAUCUAGCUGGAAUAGGACAGGUGGAGGUCCAGAGUAGAAGGCUCCCUGACCACCUGGAGGAGGAGUCGGGAGACCUCCUCCUUAUGCCUUAAAGUCUUCAUUUGUCAACAUGGUGCAGUGGCGGUGAAGAGCGCAGGCUGUGGGACCCAGGCAAGGCGUCGCUGCCCCUCUCAGAGUCUCGCUUCCUUAUCUCCUCGAUGAGGUGUCACAGCAGAUGAUCCCAAGCCUGCUUAGCUCCAGACAACUCCAGACUUGGAUGGGCUGAGUGAGCAGAAUGAUUGGAAUGCGAAUUCCGCUGCCAAGAAGGGUCAGAAAGUCUUUCACAGGACCCUGGCAUGGGCCACGAGAAGAGACAUGGGAGAGGCCCCAGGGCCCCUGACUGAGGGUGGACUCAGGAGGCAGCCAGCCAGAAGCGGGGGAGUACCAUCAACCCACAUCCUGGGCUGACUGUCACUGUGGGUCACUCACUACACUGCUUCUCCCAGGAGGGCCACCAACCUAUCCCUUCCUUCCUCUGCUCAUUCAACAAGAUGAAAGUGUUGACUAUAUUGAGAAGUCUCUUCCCACUCUGACCUUCUAUGACACUAAUGACAGGUCAAGCCCUGUGAUCAGCAAUGCUCAUUCUAAAAGUCUCAUAAAAUAAUUCAAACAAGAGGAAACCUUAGCCUGGACAGUGGGAUAAGGAAACUGAGGCCUGGCAAGGGGAGUCUGCACCUCCAGGCCUCACAGCUUGCCGGGCCAGGGCCGGGACUCAAGCCCAACGAUCCUGACCUGCAAGCCUUCAGCUGCAAGGUAAGUGCCCUAGACUCUCUCCCUUCCCAUCGUUAGAAUCAAGUCCCCUAAGCCUGUCCUCAGUAGAGAUUCUGGAGUGGCCAUGACCUGUAUCCUCUGACAAACCUGAAUUCUCUCUUGCUGCUAAGGAAGAAAGUGAGCCCAGAGAUCUAGUCAACAGCCUCACAAAUCUUAAAAUCCUCUUCUGCAGGUUUAUGGCUUCUGAGAAGCAAGCAGAGGCAGCCUGUUCUCAGCACCAAACAUAAUAAUUAUAACAGCACUUGCAAUGAUUAAUCAACCAGUGACUACUGAGUGGAGUCCGUGAGCAUGCACGGCAGUGUGUGUGUGUCUGUGUGUGUGUCCAUCCAGGUGGGGGAGAGGGCGAUGGAGGUGACUGUUUCCAGUGAGCAGGUUUUAGAUGUCCUUCCCUCAGUGGAGGGGCUGGGUCGCCAAUUUGGCACUCCUUGGGUAGAGAGUCAUGAUCCACCUGGGGCUGCAGCUGUUUCUCCUGGGAGAGGAGUCCCAUUUCCCAUGGUCUUGACUCAGCUGGGCUGAGCUGGGCUCCUCACCAUACUGGGAGAAAGGAACUGAUGACCAGAAGCAGGUUCCAGACCGGUCAGCCAGAUUAACUAGAGGCUUUACCUGCAUGAUGUAUAGAGCAAAACCAAGGAACUUGGGAUGUUCAGCCUGGAAGAAAGAUGCAGAGGACAUGUGAGCUGUCACAUGGAGGAGGAAUUAGCUUUGUUCUGGCUGGCCUAGGAGGGGCCAGUGACCUUUGUGGAAAUGCUCCAGUGAAAGAGAGUUUGGCUCAAAAUAGAUGGGACAUUCUCUAUGUCUCUGCAGAAGCAAUGGGCUGCCCAGAUGUAAUGAGCUCCUGGUCAAUGAAACUUGAGAGCAGGAUGGCCUUACUGGAGCAGACCAUGGGGACCACCUGACUUCCAGCUUUCCCUAGCCUUGGUGACCUCGGAUGGCUGGCACCCAUGUAAUCAGACCAAAGCCUUGGUCUGUCAUCGAAAAGAAGUCCUGGCACUGAUGGGCAACCAGUGGCCUUGCUGGGCUAUGCAUAGCCUUUGGGUGUUUGUUGGGGGGAGGAGAAGCAGCUUUGAUUCAGAAGACGUGGCUUGAGGACAGCUGGUUUCCCUGGAUCAGACUGG